GGACAGGUGGCCGAGCGGCUGAAGGCGUCGGUUUGCUAAACCGGUAUAGGAGUUAUUACUCUUAUCGCGGGUUCGAAUCCCGCCCUGUCCG
RNAcentral lists this transfer RNA (91 nucleotides) under Planctomycetota bacterium. RNAcentral describes it as "Planctomycetes bacterium tRNA-Ser". It matches the Rfam family "tRNA". From Rfam's summary of the family: Transfer RNA (tRNA) molecules are approximately 80 nucleotides in length. Lineage: Bacteria; Pseudomonadati; Planctomycetota. The record is from RNAcentral.